This 492-nucleotide ribosomal RNA is filed under the name uncultured bacterium. Its description in RNAcentral is "partial 16S ribosomal RNA". It matches the Rfam family "Bacterial small subunit ribosomal RNA", at positions 29 to 507 of the family's 1533-position model. The record is from RNAcentral.
AGUGAACGCUGGCGGUAUGCCUAACACAUGCAAGUCGAACGGCAGCACCGUAAGAGCUUGCUCUUACGGGUGGCGAGUGGCGGACGGGUGAGGAAUACAUCGGAAUCUACUUUUUCGUGGGGGAUAACGUAGCGAAACUUACGCUAAUACCGCAUACGACCUACGGGUGAAAGCAGGGGAUCUUCGGACCUUGCGCGAUUGAAUGAGCCGAUGUCGGAUUAGCUAGUUGGCGGGGUAAAGGCCCACCAAGGCGACGAUCCGUAGCUGGUCUGAGAGGAUGAUCAGCCACACGGGAACUGAGACACGGUCCCGACUCCUACGGGAGGCAGCAGUGGGGAAUAUUGGACAAUGGGCGCAAGCCUGAUCCAGCCAUACCGCGUGGGUGAAGAAGGCCUUCGGGUUGUAAAGCCCUUUUGUUGGGAAAGAAAAGCAGCAGGUUAAUACCCCGCUGUUCUGACGGUACCCAAAGAAUAAGCACCGGCUAACUUCGUG